ACAGUUUCAUCCUGGCUCAGAACGAACGCUGGCGGCAGGCCUAACACAUGCAAGUCGAGCGCACUCUUAGGGGUGAGCGGCGGACGGGUUAGUAACGCGUGGGAAUAUACCCUUGUGUAGGGAAUAGCCUCGGGAAACUGAGAGUAAUACCAUAUACGCCCUUCGGGGGAAAGAUUUAUCGGUGAAGGAUUAGCCCGCGUUAGAUUAGAUAGUUGGUGAGGUAAUGGCCUACCAAGUCUACGAUCUGUAGCUGGUUUGAGAGGAUGAUCAGCAACACUGG
RNAcentral lists this ribosomal RNA (280 nucleotides) under uncultured Loktanella sp. RNAcentral's name for it is "partial 16S ribosomal RNA". It matches the Rfam family "Bacterial small subunit ribosomal RNA", at positions 8 to 316 of the family's 1533-position model. Lineage: Bacteria; Pseudomonadati; Pseudomonadota; Alphaproteobacteria; Rhodobacterales; Roseobacteraceae. The record is from RNAcentral.